RNAcentral lists this ribosomal RNA (1409 nucleotides) under Pseudoalteromonas sp. DSM 26666. Its description in RNAcentral is "bacterial LSU rRNA". It matches the Rfam family "Bacterial large subunit ribosomal RNA", at positions 1574 to 2925 of the family's 2925-position model. Lineage: Bacteria; Pseudomonadati; Pseudomonadota; Gammaproteobacteria; Alteromonadales; Pseudoalteromonadaceae. The record is from RNAcentral.
UCACCAAGGUGAUGAAGUUGCUGAUGCCAUACUUCCAGGAAAAGCCUCUAAGCUUCAGAUUAUACCGAAUCGUACCCCAAACCGACACAGGUGGUCAGGUAGAGAAUACUAAGGCGCUUGAGAGAACUCGGGUGAAGGAACUAGGCAAAAUCGUACCGUAACUUCGGGAGAAGGUACGCUCCGAUUGGUGAUGGGACUUGCUCCCUAAGCUGAUUGGAGCCGCAGUGACCAGGUGGCUGGGACUGUUUAUUAAAAACACAGCACUGUGCAAAAUCGCAAGAUGACGUAUACGGUGUGACACCUGCCCGGUGCCGGAAGGUUAAUUGAUGGGGUUAUCUUCGGAGAAGCUCUUGAUCGAAGCCCCGGUAAACGGCGGCCGUAACUAUAACGGUCCUAAGGUAGCGAAAUUCCUUGUCGGGUAAGUUCCGACCUGCACGAAUGGUGUAACCAUGGCCACGCUGUCUCCACCCGAGACUCAGUGAAAUUGAAAUCGCAGUGAAGAUGCUGUGUACCCGCGGCUAGACGGAAAGACCCCGUGAACCUUUACUACAGCUUGGCACUGAACAUUGAACCUACAUGUGUAGGAUAGGUGGGAGACUUAGAAGCAGAGACGCUAGUUUUUGUGGAGUCGUCCUUGAAAUACCACCCUUGUAGUUUUGAUGUUCUAACGUUGGCCCCUGAAUCGGGGUUACGGACAGUGCCUGGUGGGUAGUUUGACUGGGGCGGUCUCCUCCCAAAGAGUAACGGAGGAGCACGAAGGUUGGCUAAGUACGGUCGGACAUCGUACGGUUAGUGUAAUGGUAGAAGCCAGCUUAACUGCGAGACAGACACGUCGAGCAGGUACGAAAGUAGGUCAUAGUGAUCCGGUGGUUCUGAAUGGAAGGGCCAUCGCUCAACGGAUAAAAGGUACUCCGGGGAUAACAGGCUGAUACCGCCCAAGAGUUCAUAUCGACGGCGGUGUUUGGCACCUCGAUGUCGGCUCAUCACAUCCUGGGGCUGAAGUCGGUCCCAAGGGUAUGGCUGUUCGCCAUUUAAAGUGGUACGCGAGCUGGGUUUAGAACGUCGUGAGACAGUUCGGUCCCUAUCUGCCGUGGGCGUUUGAGAAUUGAGAGGGGUUGCUCCUAGUACGAGAGGACCGGAGUGAACGAACCGCUGGUGUUCGGGUUGUCAUGCCAAUGGCAUUGCCCGGUAGCUACGUUCGGAACUGAUAAGCGCUGAAAGCAUCUAAGCGCGAAGCAGGCCUCGAGAUGAGUUCUCACUAGACUUUUAAAGUCUCUGAAGGGCCGUUGAAGACUACAACGUUGAUAGGCAAGAUGUGGAAGUGGUGUGAGCCAUUAAGCUAACUUGUACUAAUUACCCGUGAGGCUUAACCAUACAACGCCAAACGCGUUUUAUGUGAUAGUUUAAGC